AGACAGGUGGCCGAGUGGUCGAAGGCGCACGACUGGAACUCGUGUAGGGUUAAUAGCCCUCGAGGGUUCGAAUCCCUUCCUGUCUG
RNAcentral lists this transfer RNA (86 nucleotides) under hydrothermal vent metagenome. Its description in RNAcentral is "tRNA-Ser-GGA". It matches the Rfam family "tRNA". Rfam says of the family: Transfer RNA (tRNA) molecules are approximately 80 nucleotides in length. Their secondary structure includes four short double-helical elements and three loops (D, anti-codon, and T loops). Further hydrogen bonds mediate the characteristic L-shaped molecular structure. tRNAs have two regions of fundamental functional importance: the anti-codon, which is responsible for specific mRNA codon recognition, and the 3' end, to which the tRNAs corresponding amino acid is attached (by aminoacyl-tRNA synthetases). tRNAs cope with the degeneracy of the genetic code in two manners: having more than one tRNA (with a specific anti-codon) for a particular amino acid; and 'wobble' base-pairing, i.e. permitting non-standard base-pairing at the 3rd anti-codon position. The record is from RNAcentral.